Molecule: long non-coding RNA, 290 nt
Organism: Ipomoea triloba (trilobed morning glory)
Lineage: Eukaryota; Viridiplantae; Streptophyta; Magnoliopsida; Solanales; Convolvulaceae
Exons: 2
Source: RefSeq, a predicted model, not a curated record
UAUUAGAUUAUAUUAAUUCUUCAGGUUCGUGAUUAUGAACCGAGCUUUGAGUUUGACGUUGCUUUGGAUUAAAAUGCUUUGGGUUAAUUACGCUUCAAAGGGUUGCCUUAAAGCCUUUGCGUGAGCGCGAUAGAGAUAUACCCGUAUGAGGAGGCUUAGAUAGUGGCUAUGUUUUUAGACUUAUGCUUUGGCCUGUGUGCCGCUUUGAGAAUUCUAUGUACUUUGGUUUAGUUGUUGGAUGUUUUGAGAUAUAUUUAAGGAUUAUCGUUUAUACAGUUCAGCUUUUAUGG